AUCUCCAGAAUCUGUCAAUGGCCCUGACAUCCAAAAUGAAUUAGAGUCACCAAUCAUUUAAUAGUUGACCAUAGUAACAUUCAGGGAAGUUAAUCUUCCUAGCAACAAGAUGAUACACAGAGAGCUCUCUAAAUUAAGAAUAAACAACUGUAAGCUGAUUGCUGUGCUAGUGUGCUGAAAUGAAAACAUAUUCAGAUGCAGUUCCCAGAUGCUAAAAAGGAAAAUGUGGGACACAGAUGAUUGAGGGCUCCAAACUCCAAUCUGAUUAAUAAUCUAAGAAGUCAAAUUCCAAGGCCCAGAUAACCAACACUCAAUUGGACUUUCGAUCAUUUUAUUUGUUUUAAUAUUUUGGCAAACAGCAGGCAAGGGCUUUAGAGACCUGACAGUGUCACCAACUUGAAUAGUCUAAAAAAACACAGCGAACAGAGAGCAACCGACAUUCUAAUAAUCUAAUUUAUAGUGCAACUACUCUUACAAGAAGUAACAUGUCAUUUAUUUGAUCUAAUACAAGAAGAAAAUAUGGCCGAAAGUUCAGAAAUAUAGACAAACGGAGACUUAUUACAAAGUCCACUACGCUUUUUUUUUCUUCAGAUAAACAUAACCACAUAAUAAAUGAGAGCCCCAUUGUAAUCUAAGUUAAAAGAAAUACCAGCAUAAUGAAUCAACAAUGUG
This 672-nucleotide unclassified non-coding RNA is filed under the name Hevea brasiliensis (rubber tree). The record is from RNAcentral. Lineage: Eukaryota; Viridiplantae; Streptophyta; Magnoliopsida; Malpighiales; Euphorbiaceae.